RNAcentral lists this ribosomal RNA (447 nucleotides) under uncultured bacterium. RNAcentral's name for it is "SSU rRNA". It matches the Rfam family "Bacterial small subunit ribosomal RNA", at positions 26 to 518 of the family's 1533-position model. The record is from RNAcentral.
AGAACGAACGCUGGCGGCAGGCUUAACACAUGCAAGUCGAACGCUCGUAGCAAUACGGGAGUGGCAGACGGGUGAGUAACGCGUGGGAACAUACCCUCCGGUUCGGAAUAGCUCAGGGAAACUUGGAUUAAUACCGGAUACGGCUGAGAGGCGAAAGAUUUAUCGCCGGAGGAUUGGCCCGCGUUCGAUUAGCUUGUUGGUGAGGUAACGGCUCACCAAGGCGAUGAUCGAUAGCUGGUCUGAGAGGAUGAUCAGCCACAUUGGGACUGAGACACGGCCCAAACUCCUACGGGAGGCAGCAGUGGGGAAUAUUGGACAAUGGGCGCAAGCCUGAUCCAGCCAUGCCGCGUGAGUGAUGACGGCCUUAGGGUUGUAAAGCUCUUUCGCUCGGGACGAUAAUGACGGUACCGAGAUAAGAACGCCCGGCUAACUCGUGCCAGCAGCCGC